Molecule: long non-coding RNA, 2394 nt
Organism: Dunckerocampus dactyliophorus (ringed pipefish)
Lineage: Eukaryota; Metazoa; Chordata; Actinopteri; Syngnathiformes; Syngnathidae
Exons: 3
Source: RefSeq, a predicted model, not a curated record
AAAAGUGGGUGAAGGCGAAGAGAAAGCAGAGUUGUAGGACAAAGGUAAACUAGGCAAUGUAAGAGGCGACUGUUAAUGUGUAACACGGAGCUAACAGGAGGAGACAGCAGCACCUCCAGAAACAACUAUGAGAAAAUCAGACCACUCGCCGUACAUAUGACAACCCUUGUGUGCAGCCCGACCUCUAUGAACCAAAGAAUGUGAUUUCAGGUCAAGCAGCUCAGUCCUCUCUACUGCUCUGUUAACACGGGCGUGGCUCAAGCAGACUCAAUCAAUUCUCAAAAGGCUCCACCCACGGGAGCUGUGAACACACCACUGCCAACUACAAGAAGCAUUGCGGUGGGUACCACACUGAUAAUAGAAACAAAGCACCUUCCUGACAAAGUGCAUGACAAAGUGUCCUGGAAUAUCUAAAUAUUUUUAGUAGGGACUUGUAGUAGUAGGAAUUGUUGUUCAAAUCUCGUGCAAACUAUGGCAGAUGCUGCUUUGAUCAUAUUCUUCCUUGCCUACCAGCUUCUUGUACUCCCAAGUGCAGGGAUGAGUUUUACAUACCAAACACGAGGUUUAUAGGUCAGUGUGGUUGCAGUCACUUCAAAUCCACCUUGUCCAUUACGGUGUCAUAUGAUUUCCCCGUUAGCGGAAUCGCGGAAUUGGCCAAUGAAAACGGAAUCUACGAAUAAUCGCGAAAUCUCGCAGAACUUAACAUAUUAUGAAUGAAGUGCUGUUAUCGUGAGGAAAAGGAACGCUUUUGUGGGAAAGUAUUUCCCCCCGCAGACCACUCAUUUGUGGCGGAAACUCCUCAAACACUAACCCACCCCCUCCCAAACUAAAUAUGUCGAAGGAGCCACCUGAAACACCGGCUAAGUCAGAGAGGAAAAACUUGGAAACUCAUCUCAGUCACCAAGCGUUAGUGGAAGCUGGCUGGGUUAGCUUAUUAUCGCAGAGCAUGCUAGUGCGGCUGUGUGUGUGCGACUGAGGCUGCGUGAGUGCGUUUACACCGUCAAGUGAUUGGAAUUGCAUCGAGGACUCCGUCUUACUCAACCACAAGCACAAGCAUUACAGUUUGUUGAGGAUUUUGUAGUAUUAUGUGCAGAGCAAAGGUAGAUCUGCUUCUGAAAUAUUGAAAAAAAUUGUCAAAUGAUGUAUUGCAUCAAUAAAUGCAAGGAUUUUUGCAUUUCAUUGACAGACAUUUUAGUCACUGCCACAAAAAGCACACACUUUGGUGGUAAAAUAAGUGUAUAAAUAACGAAAUUCUGAAAAAUGAAAUCAGAAAAAAAUUAAUUUGGGAAAAAAUAAAAACAGGCUCGACAUUGCAAUUGGCGAAGUGAGCACUUACUCGCUUCGUCGGCGUGCCUCCAUCCCGUCGGGCAGGAACAGUUUGACUGUUGACACGAUGCAGCCAUGUGUGACUGGAGACACAGAACAGCAACAAACAUGUUACUACUUAACGUUAACAUACUGCUUGUUAAAGCUGACAUUUUUUUUCUUGGAUACUCAUAAUGGGUGCGUCACAGGUUUGUGUUCGGCUCUACAGGAAAAUAUUUGUUUGCAUAUUAACCUGUGAUAGAAGAAACCUUGAAGAAUGAGGUUAACAUGCAGGAUGAAUUUGUUCUGGAACGCUAAUUUGAAAGGUUUGGUAGUGGAGCUGAAAAUCUGACCUAAAUGUCCACUCCAUAUUGUGUGUGUGUGUGUGUGUGUGUGUGUGUGUGUGUGUGUAUGACACCACUUUUGAGGUGAGCUCCAAGGUACCCUUAAGGGUUAUUGAAGUGUGAUGAUUCAAAUGCUGCCCAUGUGCAUGAGCACAUAACGUCAAGUGAGGUCAGACUGGUUUUAACAAACUUUCCAUAUUCACAUUUAGCAUAUUUCUAAUACUAAUUUCUUAACGUACACUCACACAUGCACAUCAUUCGAUACAGCUGCACAAUAUAAAAUGAUUUAAUACUUUAUUUAGCAACAUCAGUGUUGAACUAUUAGAAACAGUAUGUAAGUCAAUAUACAGUACAUGAUAUAAUGUGACAUGGCAGAGUAUUUUAUUGCACCUCGUUCGAUGCGAGGGGGCGCUUAAUGUGUAUCCUACAUGUACCUUUGCGUGUGUUCUCAGUGACAUCGACGCCAAACUGAAUGAUGUCUCCAGAGAGGACCUCGCACGGUGGACUCUCCUCUGAGCCGCGACUCAACCUCUGGCUGUUGAUGAAUGUGCCAUUGCUGCUUUUUGUGUCCUGCAGGUAGAACUGAAACAGAAGCAAAAACAUACACAUGAUUACACAACUGCUGAUUCUGUCAUCAAGAGUAAGCAAUGUACUAGUGAGAAGAUAUUAGUGUAAAAAUGAACGUGCAUCUAUAGCUGUUGGCCCCUGAAGGAAAUUAAACACAGUCUUUAGGAUUAAAAAUAAC